GAUGAACGCUGGCGGCGUGCCUAAUACAUGCAAGUCGAGCGAACAGACGAGGAGCUUGCUCCUCUGACGUUAGCGGCGGACGGGUGAGUAACACGUGGAUAACCUACCUAUAAGACUGGGAUAACUUCGGGAAACCGGAGCUAAUACCGGAUAAUAUAUUGAACCGCAUGGUUCAAUAGUGAAAGACGGUUUUGCUGUCACUUAUAGAUGGAUCCGCGCCGCAUUAGCUAGUUGGUAAGGUAACGGCUUACCAAGGCGACGAUGCGUAGCCGACCUGAGAGGGUGAUCGGCCACACUGGAACUGAGACACGGUCCAGACUCCGACGGGAGGCAGCAGUAGGGAAUCGGCCGCAAGGGGCGAAAGCCUGACGGUGCAACGGCGCGUGAGUGAUGAAGGUCUUCGGAUCGUAGAACUCUGUUAUUAGGGAAGAACAAAUGUGUAAGUAACUAUGCACGUCUUGACGGUACCGAAUCAGAAAGCCACGGCUAACUACGUG
Molecule: ribosomal RNA, 497 nt
Filed under: uncultured bacterium
Lineage: Bacteria
Description: partial 16S ribosomal RNA
Rfam family: Bacterial small subunit ribosomal RNA
Source: RNAcentral